UAUCCUGUUGUCUAUGAUGCAUUUCUUAGUCUGAAAAUUUUCAUUUCAUGAUGAUAAAUUUUUCGUCACUACCACUGAGACAACAAGUAU
Molecule: small nucleolar RNA, 90 nt
Organism: Styela clava
Lineage: Eukaryota; Metazoa; Chordata; Ascidiacea; Stolidobranchia; Styelidae
Product: small nucleolar RNA SNORD70
Source: RefSeq, a predicted model, not a curated record